This 779-nucleotide ribosomal RNA is filed under the name uncultured bacterium. RNAcentral describes it as "bacterial SSU rRNA". It matches the Rfam family "Bacterial small subunit ribosomal RNA", at positions 8 to 796 of the family's 1533-position model. The record is from RNAcentral.
AGAGUUUGAUCCUGGCUCAGGACGAACGCUGGCGGCGUGCUUAAUACAUGCAAGUCGAACGAGGUUCAGCCGGUGGUAACACUGGCGAAGACCUAGUGGCGAACGGGUGCGUAACACGUGAGCAACCUGCCCCGAAGACCGGGAUAACAGUGGGAAACCGCUGCUAAUACCGGAUGUCCCCACGAAUCCGCAUGGAUAUGUGAGGAAAUGGAUUCCGCUUCGGGAGGGGCUCGCGGCCUAUCAGCUUGUUGGUGAGGUAACGGCUCACCAAGGCGUCGACGGGUAGCUGGUCUGAGAGGACGAUCAGCCACACUGGGACUGAGACGCGGCCCAGACUCCUACGGGAGGCAGCAGUAGGGAAUCUUGCGCAAUGGGCGAAAGCCUGACGCAGCAACGCCGCGUGGGGGAUGAAGGCCUUCGGGUUGUAAACUCCUUUUAGUGGGAACGAAAUUGACGGUACCCACAGAAAAAGCCCCGGCUAACUACGUGCCAGCAGCCGCGGUGAUACGUAGGGGGCGAGCGUUGUCCGGAUUUACUGGGCGUAAAGAGCUCGUAGGCGGUUUAGUAAGUCGGGUGUGAAACCUCUAGGCUUAACCUAGAGACGCCACUCGAAACUACUAUGACUAGAGUCUGGUAGGGGACCAUGGAAUUCCUGGUGUAGCGGUGAAAUGCGCAGAUAUCAGGAGGAACACCAGUAGCGAAGGCGGUGGUCUGGGCCAGUACUGACGCUGAGGAGCGAAAGCGUGGGGAGCGAACAGGAUUAGAUACCCCCGUAGUCC